UACGUAGGGGGCAAGCGUUGUCCGGAAUCAUUGGGCGUAAAGGGCUCGUAGGCGGUUUGUCGCGUCGGGAGUGAAAUCCACUGGCUUAACUGGUGGCUUGCUUUCGAUACGGGCAGACUGGAGGUAUGCAGGGGAGAACGGAAUUCCUGGUGUAGCGGUGAAAUGCGCAGAUAUCAGGAGGACACCGGUGGCGAAGGCGGGAUCUCCGUGGGCCGAUGCUGACGCUGGAGGAGCGAAAAGCGUGGGGAGCGAACAGG
RNAcentral lists this ribosomal RNA (257 nucleotides) under uncultured bacterium. Its description in RNAcentral is "partial 16S ribosomal RNA". It matches the Rfam family "Bacterial small subunit ribosomal RNA", at positions 524 to 776 of the family's 1533-position model. The record is from RNAcentral.